This 253-nucleotide ribosomal RNA is filed under the name uncultured bacterium. RNAcentral's name for it is "partial 16S ribosomal RNA". It matches the Rfam family "Bacterial small subunit ribosomal RNA", at positions 524 to 776 of the family's 1533-position model. The record is from RNAcentral.
UACGUAGGGCGCAAGCGUUGUCCGGAAUUAUUGGGCGUAAAGAGCUCGUAGGUGGCUUGUCACGUCGGGUGUGAAAGCUUGGGGCUUAACUCCAGGUCUGCAUUCGAUACGGGCUGGCUAGAGGUAGGUAGGGGAGAACGGAAUUCCUGGUGUAGCGGUGAAAUGCGCAGAUAUCAGGAGGAACACCGGUGGCGAAGGCGGGUCUCUGGGCCGUAACUGACGCUGAGGAGCGAAAGCGUGGGGAGCGAACAGG